Molecule: ribosomal RNA, 497 nt
Filed under: uncultured bacterium
Lineage: Bacteria
Description: partial 16S ribosomal RNA
Rfam family: Bacterial small subunit ribosomal RNA
Source: RNAcentral
GAUGAACGCUGGCGGCGUGCCUAAUACAUGCAAGUCGAGCGAACAGACGAGGAGCUUGCUCCUCUGACGUUAGCGGCGGACGGGUGAGUAACACGUGGAUAACCUACCUAUAAGACUGGGAUAACUUCGGGAAACCGGAGCCAAUACCGGAUAAUAUAUUGAACCGCAUGGUUCAAUAGUGAAAGACGGUUUUGCUGUCACUUAUAGAUGGAUCCGCGCCGCAUUAGCUAGUUGGUAAGGUAACGGCUUACCAAGGCGACGAUGCGUAGCCGACCUGAGAGGGUGAUCGGCCACACUGGAACUGAGACACGGUCCAGACUCCUACGGGAGGCAGCAGUAGGGAAUCUUCCGCAAUGGGCGAAAGCCUGACGGAGCAACGCCGCGUGAGUGAUGAAGGUCUUCGGAUCGUAAAACUCUGUUAUUAGGAAAGAACAAAUGUGUAAGUAACUAUGCACGUCUUGACGGUACCUAAUCAGAAAGCCACGGCUAACUACGUG